This 77-nucleotide transfer RNA is filed under the name Bifidobacterium longum subsp. suis. Its description in RNAcentral is "tRNA-Pro". It matches the Rfam family "tRNA". Rfam says of the family: Transfer RNA (tRNA) molecules are approximately 80 nucleotides in length. Their secondary structure includes four short double-helical elements and three loops (D, anti-codon, and T loops). Further hydrogen bonds mediate the characteristic L-shaped molecular structure. tRNAs have two regions of fundamental functional importance: the anti-codon, which is responsible for specific mRNA codon recognition, and the 3' end, to which the tRNAs corresponding amino acid is attached (by aminoacyl-tRNA synthetases). tRNAs cope with the degeneracy of the genetic code in two manners: having more than one tRNA (with a specific anti-codon) for a particular amino acid; and 'wobble' base-pairing, i.e. permitting non-standard base-pairing at the 3rd anti-codon position. RNAcentral also lists the same sequence under 4 other names. The record is from RNAcentral. Lineage: Bacteria; Bacillati; Actinomycetota; Actinomycetes; Bifidobacteriales; Bifidobacteriaceae.
CGGGCUGUGGCGCAGUUUGGUAGCGCGCUUGCUUUGGGAGCAAGACGUCGCAGGUUCAAAUCCUGUCAGCCCGACAA